GACGAACGCUGGCGGCGUGCCUAAUACAUGCAAGUCGAACGCAGUGGGGACGGGUGAGUAACACGUGGGUAAACUCCCAUCAGAGGGGAUAACACUUGGAAACAGGUGCUAAAACGAUACUGAUGGAUGGACCCGCGGUGCAUUAGCUAGGUGGUGAGGUAACGGCUCACAAAGGCCACGAUGCAUAGACUGCUUGUGAUGGUGAGCGGACACCAUGGUACUGAUACACGGCCCAGACUCCUACGGUAGUCAACAGUAGGGAAUCUUCGGCAAUGGACGAAAGUCUGAGCGAGCAACGCCGCGUGAGUGAAGAAGGUUUUCGGAUCGUAAAACUCUGUUGUAAGAGAAGCGGUAUCUAACCAGAAAGCCACGGCUAACUACGGGCCAGCAGCCGCGGUAAUAC
This 403-nucleotide ribosomal RNA is filed under the name uncultured bacterium. RNAcentral's name for it is "partial 16S ribosomal RNA". It matches the Rfam family "Bacterial small subunit ribosomal RNA", at positions 28 to 526 of the family's 1533-position model. The record is from RNAcentral.